This is a non-coding RNA of Camellia sinensis, 461 nucleotides long. NCBI's taxonomy places the organism in Eukaryota, Viridiplantae, Streptophyta, Magnoliopsida, Ericales, Theaceae. The record is from RefSeq and is a predicted model, not a curated record.
UUACAACGAGAAACCUAAAAUCAACGUAAAAUGGUCGUAAUCUGAAAAGAAUGAGAGAGUUCUGGAGGCCAUCACCGAGAACCAGGACAAUAUACCAAUUACAGAUACUCUAAUACAAAUAAGAAAUCUGUUAGCAUUUAAUUGAAGAAGGUACUAGCAAAAGUCAGCUUUCUCAGCUAAAAAACCCAAUUGCUUUCUCAGCAUUUAUUUUUACUUAUCUACACAAAAUAAGUAAAGAACCGAACAAAUAGAGCCUAAAAACAUGCUUCUGCUCUCCUAACAUAACUCAAUUUUCCAUGGCUUAUGUGCCAUUAUGUAGUUAGUCUAUUCAAAUAUUGGCAUUUAUGGUAUUCUCAUAAUGGUUGAGGCAAGCUGCCUGUGUAGAUAAGUCACACCCCUAUUAGGCCUUUUCAGUGGUUAGAUUACUUUACAUAUCAAAAACUUAAUAACAUGGAUAUAUC